AUAUGGCAGGCCUUGAGUGGAUAUAAAAAAUUGUCAAUCGACAAGAACAACCAAUAAUGCGCCUCAAAUCCGCAUAUGCCCGCCUACUAAAUUAUUAAUCCAGCCCCUUCUGCGUUGCUAUUGGCUGUACUACUCACAUAGGGUGAGGCUAGUCAGGAUCCCGAUACAGAGAGGAGGCGGGAGCGUGGGGAAUUUUUGAUUGCUUCCGCUUCCGGUGUGGUGAGCGUUGUGGCGAGGCCGGCGUUGCGGGGCGCCUUAGAGGUUAGUGAUUCAGAUCACCUGCUCUGAAGAAAUCUGAAUGUGGCUUCAGUGGGAAUUUUAAGGACAUCUUAUGCACCCCUAAUGUUGCAGAUGUUUCUACUGGGGAAACCAAUCUCAUCUCAUUAUGAAGACCUGUAAUAUAUGAUAAAAAUAAGUAACACUUAAGUGAAGUUGCAGAGCUUAACAAUCCCUCUAAUUUGUUCUUGUAAUUUGAAUUGGAUUGCUUAUUAUAAUGGGCACCUAGUUGCUAAAUUGAUUUGUAGCACACUUCCAGUGAACUCCUUAAACUCUAUAGUUCUUGUGCUGUUAACAAUGCUCUUGCUACAUAAUACAACGUUAUUCAGUACCACACAACUGACCCUUGUGUAACUCUUGGCUUCAUGGGGUACAAAACUAGCUAUACAUCUGUGGAUAAAUAAAAGGACUAUUAGCAAACACUUGGGAAAUAUGCUAAGACAUAACUGUAGUCACUCGCCUGUUUCCUUUUUUUAUUGAAAAAAUACAAAUGCUGUCUGCAGCUCAUCACACAACUGUCACUAAUAAUUAAAGGCUAGCAUCUAUUCUAGUAUCCCAAAAUGCAAGUGAGAUUAGGAAGCUCAUUUAAACUUCAUUUUGAUCCGCUUGUUACUCCAAUACCAGAAGUUAAAGUGGCUUGAGUGGCAUCUAGAACCCAACAGUGUAAUUAUUUCUCUUUAUCUGUUUUCUCUUAUGUUCCCUGAACUGUAAAUAAGAAUGACCUAUACAGGUUUUUGAGAAACAUAGUGCUAGCGCAAUAACAAUAUGAUUUGGCUAAAGCUACUAGGUGUUGCUACAGUAUAAAUGAUCACUCUAAACUAGAUGCUAAUAAGAACAAUAGUGCAAAAUAAUCUAAAUA
This is a long non-coding RNA of Chelonoidis abingdonii (Abingdon island giant tortoise), 1135 nucleotides long. RefSeq lists it as uncharacterized. Lineage: Eukaryota; Metazoa; Chordata; Testudines; Testudinidae. The record is from RefSeq and is a predicted model, not a curated record.